Molecule: ribosomal RNA, 483 nt
Filed under: uncultured bacterium
Lineage: Bacteria
Description: partial 16S ribosomal RNA
Rfam family: Bacterial small subunit ribosomal RNA
Source: RNAcentral
GACGAACGCUGGCGGCGUGCUUAACACAUGCAAGUCGAACGCUGAAGCUCAGCUUUUGUUGGGUGGAUGAGUGGCGAACGGGUGAGUAACACGUGAGUAACCUGCCCCCUUCUUUGGGAUAACGCCCGGAAACGGGUGCUAAUACUGGAUAUUCACUGGUCUUCGCAUGGGGGUUGGUGGAAAGGGUUUUUCUGGUGGGGGAUGGGCUCGCGGCCUAUCAGCUUGUUGGUGGGGUGAUGGCCUACCAAGGCUUUGACGGGUAGCGGGCCUGAGAGGGUGACCGGUCACAUUGGGACUGAGAUACGGCCCAGACUCCUACGGGAGGCAGCAGUGGGGAAUAUUGCACAAUGGGCGCAAGCCUGAUGCAGCGACGCCGCGUGAGGGAUGGAGGCCUUCGGGUUGUGAACCUCUUUCGCUCAUGGUCAAGCCGCAACAAUGGUUGUGGUGAGGGUAGUGGGUAAAGAAGCGCCGGCUAACUACGUG